RNAcentral lists this long non-coding RNA (668 nucleotides) under Solanum tuberosum (potato). RNAcentral's name for it is "long non-coding RNA (STUB_LNC002654)". The record is from RNAcentral. Lineage: Eukaryota; Viridiplantae; Streptophyta; Magnoliopsida; Solanales; Solanaceae.
CCAAGUUCACAUCUGAACUCUCUCAAUACUAGGGUGGGCAAGUAUCGAAUAGAAAACUAAACAAUCUAGGGCUAGAAUAAUCCCUAAUUAUAGAGAUUUCUUCAAAGUCCAAAGAGGAGAACCAAACACACGUUAUUUUUCUUCAACCGAAAAAUACACGCUAGUUUUCUUUUUAUAAGAAAACUAACGCCUCUCCCCUUUUCCCUUUAGAAUUAGGAUUCUGAGUUCUAGUUAAAUAUGGGCACUGGAGGGACCACAUAAUUAAUUACUGAGGCUUCCUAUUAUGGAAAUAAUUCCAAAUAAUUAAUUUGAAUUAUUCUUACCAUAAUAAAUUACAAAUCAUUCCACUAGAAAUUCGUAAUUGCACUCCUCUAUUUAUAUUUUGUAAUUCCCCAUUAAACACUUAUGUAAUUCCCCAUGUUAAGAUUUCAGAUACUAAUCAAUAAAUUAAAUUACUGACGAAUUUAACUUAAUGAUUAAUUUCCUUUAGAGCACUACUUAACUUAUUUCAUGUGUCGGAUUCAUAAAUCCACUUGCAAGGUUUGACACGAUGAAAACUUAUAAGUUUCUCAAAAAGGCAUAUCAAUCAAUCUCUAUAACGAGACAUGGAUUCCAUCAACUAACUUAUUAUUUCACCAAUAUAUAUUAUUAUCAUCCAACUUACCAGG